CGAAUGACUCUCGGCAAUGGAUAUCUUGGCUCUUGCAUCGAUGAAGAACGUAGUGAAAUGCGAUACUUGGUGUGAAUUGCAGAAUCUCGUGAACCAUUGAGUCUUUGAACGCAAGUUGUGCCCGAGGCUUUGUGGCCGAGGGCACGCCUGCUUGGGCGUCAUGG
This 164-nucleotide ribosomal RNA is filed under the name Wurfbainia compacta. Its description in RNAcentral is "5.8S ribosomal RNA". It matches the Rfam family "5.8S ribosomal RNA". From Rfam's summary of the family: 5.8S ribosomal RNA (5.8S rRNA) is a component of the large subunit of the eukaryotic ribosome. The record is from RNAcentral. Lineage: Eukaryota; Viridiplantae; Streptophyta; Magnoliopsida; Zingiberales; Zingiberaceae.